Molecule: long non-coding RNA, 513 nt
Filed under: Olea europaea (common olive)
Lineage: Eukaryota; Viridiplantae; Streptophyta; Magnoliopsida; Lamiales; Oleaceae
Description: long non-coding RNA (OEUR_LNC010858)
Source: RNAcentral
GAAACACAUACAAAAGUUUUUUUUUUAUCAUUAUUAUUUGUUUUGUUAUUUUCAAUGUUGGUCUAGUUUUGGUUUUUAUUGGUGAAUAUAUUAGAUCUCUUUGCUUUUCCUCCUUCAUUUUAUUUUUAAUUUGAUAUGGGAAACGUCGGACAUGUUGAACUAUAGGCUAUUAGCUGCGUCCUCUGAAGAUUUGCGGUGUACAGUUGCUGCUUGGGUGCUAAUGAGAAGUUGACAGUGGUGGGAAUGGCCACCGAUAUCAAAGGUGGUUGCCGAUGAAAGGAAAUUGCUGUUGGAGCAUGGUUUUGCAAGUGAUGUGAGCUUCCCUACUGCAGCGACAAAUGAUGGGAGAUCUAUGGAGAUUUUGUUACAAUCUGGUGCUAGAGUUUUGUUUAGUGGGGGGAGUUUUGUUGGUCGUGAUUUAGGAAAUUUUGGUUACGAUCUGGUGCCAAAAAAUUUGGGGAAAGUUUUUUUUUUUUGUGUGCAGUUGCGGUUUUUGGGUGUGACGGUGGUGGU